GAAUAACUAGCUCAGUUGGUAGAGCAUGAGACUCUUAAUCUCAGGGUCGUGUGUUCGAGCCCCACGGUGGGCA
This 73-nucleotide transfer RNA is filed under the name Sarcophilus harrisii (Tasmanian devil). It matches the Rfam family "tRNA". Rfam says of the family: Transfer RNA (tRNA) molecules are approximately 80 nucleotides in length. The record is from Rfam by way of RNAcentral. Lineage: Eukaryota; Metazoa; Chordata; Mammalia; Dasyuromorphia; Dasyuridae.